GGGCAGGGCACAGCUUGGAGUCCAAGCAUUUGCUGAUGCAUUGCUCAUUAUUCCCAAGGUUCUUGCUCAGAACUCUGGUUUUGACCUUCAGGAAACAUUAGUUAAAAUUCAAGCAGAACAUUCAGAAUCAGGUCAGCUUGUGGGUGUGGACCUGAACACAGGUGAGCCAAUGGUGGCAGCAGAAGUAGGCGUAUGGGAUAACUAUUGUGUAAAGAAACAGCUUCUUCACUCCUGCACUGUGAUUGCCACCAACAUUCUCUUGGUUGAUGAGAUCAUGCGAGCUGGAAUGUCUUCUCUGAAAGGUUGAAUUGAAGCUUCCUCUGUAUCUGAAUCUUGAAGACUGCAAAGUGAUCCUGAGGAUUACAGCUGUGGAAUUUUUGUCCAAGCUUCAAAUAAUUUUGAAAGAAAUUUUCCCAUAUGAAAAAAGGAGAGAACACUGGCAUCUGUUGAAAUUUGGAAGUUCUGAAAUUAUAGUAUUUUUAAAAAUUGCACUGAAGUGUAUACACAUAAAGCAGGUCUUUUAUCCAGUGAACAGGAUGUUUUGCUUUAGCAGCAGUGACAUAAAAUUCCAUGUUAGAUAAGCAUAUGUUACUUACCUUGUUAUUAAAUAUUUCUUGAAAAGCAAAUUUUAAUGGUUUAAUUUUAUGUGGACGUAUGUUAAAUUAUCCAACUACCCUAUUGUUAAGCAUUUGGUUUUAAAAUUUUUAUGCUAAUAUAAAUGCUCAAGUAAUUU
RNAcentral lists this long non-coding RNA (733 nucleotides) under Homo sapiens (human). Its description in RNAcentral is "HSALNT0123196". The record is from RNAcentral. Lineage: Eukaryota; Metazoa; Chordata; Mammalia; Primates; Hominidae.